UGCGGGUAGGGUGGCAAAAUAGGCCCUAGUCAAGGACAAGCAGAAAAAUCGGAAAGAAUAGGAGAGAUCCCCAAAUUGGCACUCCUGUGUCUCACUCGCCACAGCCCGGGGGCUCCGGGACGAAGCACCCUGAGUCGCCAGCCCGGGGCGCCAAGGUGCAGAAGCUGCCGCACCCUCCCCUCCGCCCGUUUCCCAGCGCCCGCGUGGGGCAGAGGUGGGGGACCCCGCCGCGCGCAGUGGCGGCAGCCGCCGCGGGCGCUAUCGAGGAAUCGGCCCAAGCGCGCAGCCCUCGCGGGGGCUCGGGGCUGAAACCCCGGCCGGGGCAGAACAGGCGGCAGCAAGCGCCGCUGGACGUGUUACCAUCACCACCACAACCACCAUCACACGUACCCUGCCUCCAGGAAUCUCCGUGAUUCUGGAACCCACUCCUCUGGAGAGCAUGUGACCUAGGAUUUGAUGUAAGUGCUGCAAGAGGACUGAUCCCUCCCCUUCCAAGAUGAUGAGCAGUAAUGACCAUAUAAGCCAACUUUCCUACCACGUAGGAGUCCAUCAAAGAAGAAAAGCAACAGAGAGGAAAGCAGGGCUCAGGUUUGCGUGAGAGGAAGAGGUUCCCGAGUACUUGACUCCCAUAUGCCUGAGGCUGCACUACCCUUGGACUUCUCAGGAGUCCUUCGGAUGUUCUCCCUCAGAUACUCCCAGGUGUUACGUUUAAAUACCCAUCACGUCGAUUCUGCCCUAACCACAUUUCCAUUGCAUCAAUGUGAUCGUUGAUCUUACACAGUCCACGUGACCGGGCAGAGAAACACCCAGAUACCGGAUAAAACAGUGUUGGUGUGUCUGUGAGGGUGUUUCCCGAAGAGAUUAAUAUGGGUAGACCGAGUGAAGAUCACCCUCCUCCUCCCCAUGUGGGUGGGCACUGUCUAAUCUGUUGAGGGUCCGAAUAGAACAAAAAAGCAGAGGAAGGGAGAAUUUGUUCUCUGCCUCAGCUGGAAUGUUCAUCUUCUCCUGCCCUCGGGCAUCACACUCCUCAUUCUCAACUCAGCCUGGGACUUAGAACCAUCAAGUAGCCCAACCCCCUUCCUUGGGCCUUUGGGCUUGGAUUGAAUUAUACCCCUGGCUUUCCUGGUUCUCCAGCUUAUAGACAGCAGAGGGUGAGACUUCUCGGCCUCCAUAAUCAUAUUAGUAUGUGUAUAUAUAUAUAUCUUCUACUGGUAUUGUUUCUCUAGAGAACUCUGGCUAAUACAAUCACCUAUGUCUUUCUGGAAUCUUCAGGCAGGAGCUUCUUGGAUGAUUGUUUCAAGGAAUCUCCCCACCUCCUACUGAUGUCAGUGGAUCAGUUCACAUCUCAUGGGAGUUUCCACCCACAGUUUCCUGUCUUCCUUGGAAUGCAACUUUGUAAUCAGUGCUGUUGUGUCCUGUCUGCACGGGAGUGUCUUUUGUGUCUUGUGCUUCUGGAAGUAGUAAUUUGGUCUCUGUCUCUGAAAGAUCUCUGUCCAGAUCCCCUUUCCCUCAGCAGGGCUAGCCAGCCCAUGACUGCUGCAAGGAUUAGCUGCUACAGGCUUACUGCUGUACCCAUACCUGCACAGUUGCCCUUGACCUGUGGAAGCCACCUUGCCCAGAAAUAUUUGGGAGGUAAUUCUACCCGUGGGGUAGCCUAUAGCCAGUGGCUAGCUGAUACAGGGCAUAAAAGCUCAUCCCCCUUACCUCAAGCUGGAGCAAUUUUGUGAGACUGACUGGUGUUUUCUGACUCCACUCCUGACACCGAAUAUGUGGUUUUUCCUAACACCAACCAAUUCUCCAGCACCUACUGGGUGUCCACAAUUCAAUUCAAUCCUAAUACUAUCUACACCCGGAGUUUGUUACCAUGAGAUCCUACAAGUUAAAGGGCUCAGUCCCACAAGACUGCCCCCACGUCAAAUGCCAGUGGCAAAUGGGGCCCUCAGGUGACCAGCACUUCUGCUUAACUGACUACAAAAUUCGGGGGUCCCCACGAUGCCCCCCACCUGGGUUCAAUUAUUUACCAGAACAAUUCACAGAACUUUGGAAAGUGCUUCACUUACUAUUCAAGCUUAUUAUAGAGGAUACAAAUGAACAGCCAGAUGAAGAGGUACAUAGGGUGAGAUGUGAAAGGCUCCCAAGGGCAGGAGCCUGGUGGGUUAAGGGUAGUCCACCCUUCCUGCAUGUAGAUAUGUUCACCACCCCAUUUCUAAGGGUUUUAGGAGCGCUGUGCCAGGUAUAUAACUUUUUAUUGUAUCACAGGCAGCAAACAUCCUUGUGAGAUCUUGGCUCCAACCUAGAACACACCUGUAGCUUUCAGCCCCUCACAGGUAUUCGUGCAUCUAUCAUGUGAACUUUGGGCAUUCCUUGGGAUUUAAUCUGGAUCUAAUUUAUCUUCGCCUUCCUGUAACAUCUUCGCCAUGCCUUACACACACACAAUUGUCAGAAAUGUUGUGGAAAGACAAAAUAUUUCAUAUUUUGAAAUCACUUACAUGGCUGGGCAGAACUGUGAAAUUACUGGCUUGUUUUCUCUAAUUCCCAUUCUGCACCCGCGCCCCCCCGCCCCCACAAACUGGGCACAUGAACGGCGCAAUUCUCCUCGACGAAGACGAGGGCAAAGGACUUCUAGACGCAGGAGAACAGGCCGGUGUGGAAGGACCCCCAGCCAUUCCGCCCGGUGCCGGAGAGACACAGGGCUGCUCAGUGCCUCAAGUGGUUCCGUUCUUUCUGGCUUCUCUGCCCGAUCAAGUUAAAUAGUCCCUAAGAGUAAAUAAAUGUGGCAAAGAUAAAACAAAUAUUUUUUUCCAAUUGGAUUGGUUCAGUCCUUGUGUGGGUUCAGAUGAGGGAGAACCAGAAUGUUUUGAUUAAAUCA
Zalophus californianus (California sea lion) is the source of this 2869-nucleotide long non-coding RNA. RefSeq lists it as uncharacterized. The record is from RefSeq and is a predicted model, not a curated record. The transcript has 4 exons. Lineage: Eukaryota; Metazoa; Chordata; Mammalia; Carnivora; Otariidae.